Molecule: ribosomal RNA, 450 nt
Filed under: uncultured bacterium
Lineage: Bacteria
Description: partial 16S ribosomal RNA
Rfam family: Bacterial small subunit ribosomal RNA
Source: RNAcentral
AACGAACGCUGGCGGCAGGCUUAACACAUGCAAGUCGAACGCAUCCUUCGGGGUGAGUGGCAGACGGGUGAGUAACGCGUGGGAACGUGCCCUUCAGUUCGGGAUAACCCAGGGAAACUUGGGCUAAUACCGGAUACGUGCGAGAGCAGAAAGAUUUAUCGCAUGAAGGAUCGGCCCGCGUCUGAUUAGCUAGUUGGUGGGGUAAUGGCCCACCAAGGCGACGAUCAGUAGCUGGUCUGAGAGGAUGAUCAGCCACAUUGGGACUGAGACACGGCCCAAACUCCUACGGGAGGCAGCAGUGGGGAAUAUUGGACGAUGGGCGCAAGCCUGAUCCAGCCAGGCCGCGUGAGUGAUGAAGGCCUUAGGGUUGUAAAGCUCUUUCGUCCGGGACGAUAAUGACGGUACCGGAAGAAGAAGCCCCGGCUAACUUCGUGCCAGCCGCCGCCGCGG